This 747-nucleotide small RNA is filed under the name Pongo abelii (Sumatran orangutan). RNAcentral describes it as "retained intron". The record is from RNAcentral. Lineage: Eukaryota; Metazoa; Chordata; Mammalia; Primates; Hominidae.
AGCUGCACACAAUAUUGUUGGUUCUUACUGACUGAACUUAUUUUAAGAUUUGGUUGCCUUUUAGGUGAGCCAAUGGUAGCAGCAGAAGUAGGCGUAUGGGAUAACUAUUGUGUAAAGAAACAGCUUCUUCACUCCUGCACUGUGAUUGCCACCAACAUUCUCUUGGUUGAUGAGAUCAUGCGAGCUGGAAUGUCUUCUCUGAAAGGUUGAAUUGAAGCUUCCUCUGUAUCUGAAUCUUGAAGACUGCAAAGUGAUCCUGAGGAAUACAGCUGUGGAAUUUUUGUCCAAGCUUCAAAUAAUUUUCAAAGGAAUUUUCCCAUAUGAAAAAAGGAGAGAACACUGGCAUCUGUUGAAAUUCAGAAGUUCUGAAAUUACAGUAUUUUUAAAAAUUGCACCGAAGUGUAUACACAUAAAGCAGGUCUUUUAUCCAGUGAACAGGAUGUUUUGCUUUAGCAGCAGUGACAUAAAAUUCCAUGUUAGAUAAGCAUAUGUUACUUACCUUGUUAUUAAAUAUUUCUUGAAAAGCAAAUUUUAAUGGUUUAAUUUUAUGUGGACGUAUGUUAAAUUAUCCAACAGUACCCAAUUGUUAAGCAUUUGGUUUUAAAAUUUUUAUGCUAAUAUAAAUGGUUAAGUAAUUUAAAAUAUUGAAAGCAUCCCUGUUGGUAUAAAUUUCUGAGUAAAUGCAUUGGAUCAGUUGGACUUUGAACGCUUUUGAAAUGGCUUUGCUAAAAUGCUCCCGCCACAAAG